GAGGGCAAGUCUGGUGCCAGCAGCCGCGGUAAUUCCAGCUCCAAUAGCGUAUAUUAAAGUUGUUGUGGUUAAAAAGCUCGUAGUUGAACCUUGGGCCUGGCUGGCCGGUCCGCCUCACCGCGUGUACUGGUCCGGCCGGGCCUUUCCCUCUGUGGAACCCCAUGCCCUUCACUGGGUGUGGCGGGGAAACAGGACUUUUACUUUGAAAAAAUUAGAGUGCUCCAGGCAGGCCUAUGCUCGAAUACAUUAGCAUGGAGUAAUAGAAUAGGACGUGUGGUUCUAUUUUGUUGGUUUCUAGGACCGCCGUAAUGAUUAAUAGGGACAGUCGGGGGCAUCAGUAUUCAAUUGUCAGAGGUGAAAUUCUUGGAUUUAUUGAAGACUAACUACUGCGAAAGCAUUUGCCAAGGAUGUUUUCAUUAAUCAGGAACGAAAGUUAGGGGAUCGAAGACGAUCAGAUACCGUCGUAGUCUUAACCAUAAACUAUGCCGACUAGGGAUCGGACGAUGUUAUUUUUUGACUCGUUCGGCACCUUACGGGAAAC
Molecule: ribosomal RNA, 541 nt
Filed under: uncultured Ascomycota
Lineage: Eukaryota; Fungi; Ascomycota
Description: SSU rRNA
Rfam family: Eukaryotic small subunit ribosomal RNA
Source: RNAcentral